AGUAACGCGUAGGUAACCUACCUUUUAGCGGGGGAUAACUAUUGGAAACGAUAGCUAAUACCGCAUAAGAUAUCUUACUGCAUGGUAAGAUAUUAAAAGAUGCAAUUGCAUCACUAAGAGAUGGACCUGCGUUGUAUUAGCUAGUAGGUGAGGUAACGGCUCACCUAGGCAACGAUACAUAGCCGACCUGAGAGGGUGAUCGGUCACACUGGGACUGAGACACGGCCCAG
RNAcentral lists this ribosomal RNA (230 nucleotides) under uncultured Streptococcaceae bacterium. RNAcentral's name for it is "partial 16S ribosomal RNA". It matches the Rfam family "Bacterial small subunit ribosomal RNA", at positions 109 to 334 of the family's 1533-position model. The record is from RNAcentral. Lineage: Bacteria; Bacillati; Bacillota; Bacilli; Lactobacillales; Streptococcaceae.